GUUUUUUUUAAAAACCGUUAUGUAUGAGCGCAUUUUCUAGAAAAGACAACGGUUUUGAAGAAAUCCGUUAUCUAUGUAGUGUUAUCCAUAACAAUAGAUAACAGUAUGAUGUAAUCCGUUAUCUUUUAGCGUUAUCUAUUAGUUACAUACAUAACGGUUUGAUAAACCGUUACGUCAACCGUUAUCUAUUAACACUUUUUUACAACAGUUUUUUUACCGUUAAGAAAUGCAUUAUAUAACUGUUAUGUAUUAACAUUAUUUUUUUUCAUAAAUAUAUAUUUUUAUUAGGUAAAAUUCGAAACCUAACUCAAAAUCUGAUUUUCAAGCUUCUGCUCCAAUACUCCUAACACACCCGCCGCCUCCCCCCGGUGACGCCGCGCCGGACGACGCUGCACGAGCAACCGGACGCCGGUGCCAGUGAGUCAGUGACCGCCCCUGCCCCCACCCACCCUGCAUCGCGUCGCCUCUGACGCCGCUCUUCUCGCAGCAGCAGAUCGAGAGGCGGAGCACCCUUCUCCCCUCCACCGAGCACGAGCAGACCACCCCUCUCCUCCGCCGACGCCGCUCUUCUCGCAGCGGCAGCAGCAGAUCGGGCUUUUUGCUUCUCCGUCUGCCACCUACCGCACCCGUCUCUCUCUCUCCGUCCGUUAGGCCUAGCAGCUGUCGCCGAUCGAGCUCUCAAUCGCAGACCCUAGGAGCCGCCGCUGUCGCCGCCGCCUUCUACAAUAGCCACCACCAAGGGUCAUUGGGCCUGAAAUGCCAUCCGCUGACCUACUUGCUGCAGCAGCCAAGCUAACAGAAGCUGAAGCAGAACUAAGAGAGGCUAGUUGGAUGGAGACAGCGAUCUAUUUAUAGGACCUCCACCUCCUGCUGUUGUUAAAGAAGCUGAGUCUGCAAAUGAAGCUGAGCGUUUUGAGGAGAUUACAAGAAUAAUUGGUGUCGAGGCAGAUAGUCCAUAUGAUAUUGUUGGGGCCAACAAAGAUAUGGCAGCUGAAAGUAUAAAGAAAAGACUUUCAGCCCCUUGGUCCCUAGAUGGGUGGGGAAAACCAAAAUUGCGAAGUUAAUAAGCAAGAUGAUAGUAAAACAUCUUGAUCUGACAUUGACAAAAGAGGAUUUGCAGGAUGUUGUUGACCUAAUGGAACCAUAUGGUCAAAUAAACAAUGGAAUAGAACUGCUAAGUCCACCUCUUGAUGUAAGUUACUGUAUUGACUACAAUUAUUGCUAAUAAGAGUAGUCUACACUGAUUGGUAAAUGCAAGCAUAUCCUGAGAGUAUUCCGGUGUAAUGCAUCAUCUAUGUUAUCUUUCCACUGUGCAAUAUAGCUGGAAGCAUUUAAAUAAGCUCAUGUUUUGUAUAAUGAUUCCAAUAACUGCUUGCUCAGGGAAGAAAAGACAGAGAUAUGAACUAGUAGAGAGAAAAGACAGGGAAGAAAAUUUCUUGAGUGACUUUGACUAGCAAAUAACACAUGAGAACAAAGGUCUGCGAAUUUUUUUCAUAUAUCUGCAAGUAUCCCUUUCUGCCAUAAAGAUAGCAUAUUGACUCUUUGACAUGUGGUUCUUCUUACUCUGUUUUAUUUGCUUUUUGGAUCCAUAUCUGGCAUAAAACAAAGUAGAGCACAAUAGUAAUCAGCGUUUUGAAUGUCUUUGCAGUUCUUGGUGGAGAAUAAAUUUUGUUAUAUGGUAACUUAAAGUGUCUGAUUAACUUUGGAUAUUUGCAUUAUAAACUAGAAGUUAUUGGUUGAUGCCCAAAAAUCAAAAGUAGGAACGUUGGGUUAACGAACAGGGCAAAUAUUAUUUCGAUGCAUGUAUGAAUACUAGAUUAUGUUUUAAAAUUACAUGCUUGUCACACAUCUCAACUUCUUUGAUGGCUGCUUUUCAGGGAAAGAGAGGUAUUGAAAAGCAGCCUUUUCAACUUCCUGAUUUCAUUGCUGCCACAGGAAUCGAGAAAAUCAGACAAGCUUACAUUGAAAAGGAGGAUAGUAAGAAGUUGAAACAAAAGCAACGUGAGAGAAUGCAGCCUAAAAUGGGAAAGAUGGACAUUGAUUAUCAGGUUCUUCAUGAUGCCUUCUUCAAACAUCAGACUAAGCCGAAAUUGAUCUUAUUGAAACCCCUGAUGUUAUUGAUCUUCGAAAGCAGCAGAGGAAGGAACCUGAUAGGCCUCUCUACCAAGUAAUUAUUUUUCUUUUUUCCUUACAUUGUUACACCUUAUUUUGAAGGUUUCUAGAUGAAAAAUCUUUCCAUUUCAGGUAGCUUCUUUGCUUGAUUAUGUAUUUCUUUCUACAUUUUAUGCCUGCUGGAUUAUAGAUUCAUUUCAGGUUCAAGAGAUUCUGCCUGAAGUGUAAAGGUUACAAGUCUAUUGGUGCUAGAAACAUUGUAUGAUAGAUUUUUGUUUUAGCUAUAAGGUUGUUGGUAUUUUCAAUUUUGAAUCGGAAUAUGCAAUGAUGAUGUAUACUUGAUAUUUGGUUCAUUUGUAUAAUAAUGUAUGAAUUUCUUGGAUGAUAUAUAAUAUUGUUAUCGUUGAUUUUAUCAUUUUGUCGUUUUAUAAAAAUUGCAAAAUUUAAAAAUAUACUACAAUUAUAUAAAGUGCAAAAAACUGUUAUAAAAGGUGCAAAAAAUCGUUAUGUAUUCUAAUUAAAGAUAACGGUUAAAAUCGUUAUAAAAACUGCAAAAAUCGUUAUAAAAAGUGCAA
RNA transcript from Salvia miltiorrhiza (redroot sage), 2687 nucleotides. RefSeq lists it as uncharacterized. Lineage: Eukaryota; Viridiplantae; Streptophyta; Magnoliopsida; Lamiales; Lamiaceae. The record is from RefSeq and is a predicted model, not a curated record. The transcript has 7 exons.